Molecule: ribosomal RNA, 1026 nt
Filed under: uncultured bacterium
Lineage: Bacteria
Description: bacterial SSU rRNA
Rfam family: Bacterial small subunit ribosomal RNA
Source: RNAcentral
CUACCUUACGGUAGCGAAUACUUGACGGUACCCCAGGAAGAAGGCCCGGCUAACUACGCGCCAGCAGCCGCGGUAAAACGUAGGGGCCGAGCGUUAUCCGGAAUUACUGGGCGUAAAGCGCGUGCAGGCGGUUACCAAAGUCGGACGUGAAAGCUCCUGGCUCAACUGGGAGAGGCCGUUCGAAACUAGGUAACUCGAGGGUGGUAGAGGCGAGUGGAAUUCCCGGUGUAGUGGUGAAAUGCGUAGAUAUCGGGAGGAACACCAGAGGCGAAGGCGGCUCGCUGGGCCAGCCCUGACGCUCAGACGCGAAAGCUAGGGGAGAGAACGGGAUUAGAAACCCCGGGUAUUCCUAGCUGUAAACGAUGUCAACUAGGUGUAGGGGGUAACCAACCCCUUCUGUGCUGCCGCAAACGCAAUAAGUUGACCGCCUGGGGAGUACGGCCGCAAGGCUAAAACUCAAGGGAAUUGACGGGGGCCCGCACAAGCAGCGGAGCGUGUGGUUUAAUUCGAGGCUACGCGAAGAACCUUACCAGGGUUUGACAUGUCGGUGGUAGGCCACUUGAAAGAGGGCUGACCCUUCGGGGAGCCGACACAGGUGCUGCAUGGCUGUCGUCAGCUCGUGCCGUGAGGUGUUAGGUUAAGUCCUGUAACGAGCGCAACCCACGUCGUUAGUUAUACGUGUCUAGCGAGACUGCCGGUGAUAAGCCGGAGGAAGGUGUGGAUGACGUCAAGUCAGCAUGGCCUUUAUAUCCUGGGCUACACACACGCUACAAUGGCCGGUACAAUGGGCAGCGAAGUCGCGAGGCGAAGCCAAUCCCGCAAAGCCGGUCUCAGUUCGGAUUGCAGGCUGCAACUCGCCUGCAUGAAGUCGGAGCUGCUAGUAACCGCAGGUCAGCCACACUGCGGUGAAUACGUUCCCGGGCCUUGUACACACCGCCCGUCACGUCAUGGAAGUUGGCAACGCCUGAAGUCGGUGGGCUAACCGAGAGGAAGCAGCCGCCUAAGGCGGGGUCGGUAACUGGGACG